This 457-nucleotide ribosomal RNA is filed under the name uncultured bacterium. Its description in RNAcentral is "SSU rRNA". It matches the Rfam family "Bacterial small subunit ribosomal RNA", at positions 26 to 521 of the family's 1533-position model. The record is from RNAcentral.
AGGAUGAACGCUGGCGGCGUGCCUAAUACAUGCAAGUCGAGCGGUAAGGCCACUUCGGUGGUACACGAGCGGCGGACGGCAGAGUAACGCGUGGGAAUCUACCCCAAACUGAGGGAUAAGCACCAGAAAUGGUGUCUAAUACCGCAUAUGCUCUUCGGAGUAAAGCUACGGCGGUUUGGGAAGAGCCUGCGUAUGAUUAGCUUGUUGGUAAGGUAAAAGCUUACCAAGGCGACGAUCAUUAGCUGGUCUGAGAGGAUGAUCAGCCUGACUGGGACUGAGAACGGCCCAGACUCCUACGGGAGGCAGCAGUAGGGAAUUUUCCACAAUGGGCGAAAGCCUGAUGGAGCAACGCCGCGUGCAGGAUGAAUGCCUUAGGGUUGUAAACUGCUUUUAUAUGUGAAGAUUAUGACGGUAGCAUAUGAAUAAGGAUCGGCUAACUCGUGCCAGCAGCCGCGGU